This 497-nucleotide ribosomal RNA is filed under the name uncultured bacterium. RNAcentral's name for it is "partial 16S ribosomal RNA". It matches the Rfam family "Bacterial small subunit ribosomal RNA", at positions 28 to 507 of the family's 1533-position model. The record is from RNAcentral.
GAUGAACGCUGGCGGCGUGCCUAAUACAUGCAAGUCGAACGCAUAGCGAAAGGUGCUUGCACCUUUCAUGUGAGUGGCGAACGGGUGAGUAACACGUGGACAACCUGCCUCAAGGCUGGGGAUAACAUUUGGAAACAGAUGCUAAUACCGAAUAAAACUUAGUGUCGCAUGACACAAAGUUAAAAGGCGCUUCGGCGUCACCUAGAGAUGGAUCCGCGGUGCAUUAGUUAGUUGGUGGGGUAAAGGCCUACCAAGACAAUGAUGCAUAGCCGAGUUGAGAGACUGAUCGGCCACAUUGGGACUGAGACACGGCCCAAACUCCUACGGGAGGCUGCAGUAGGGAAUCUUCCACAAUGGGCGAAAGCCUGAUGGAGCAACGCCGCGUGUGUGAUGAAGGCUUUCGGGUCGUAAAGCACUGUUGUAUGGGAAGAACAGCUAGAAUAGGAAAUGAUUUUAGUUUGACGGUACCAUACCAGAAAGGGACGGCUAAAUACGUG